AAGUCGUAACAAGGUUUCCGUAGGUGAACCUGCGGAAGGAUCAUUACCAAAUCCAAAUACCCAAACCCCAUGUGAACUUUGUUUAGUCUGUCUUUGGGAGAAAAACGAAGAUAGAUGGAAAUUUUUUUUUCCUUUUUAUUCCAAGUUUUUCUCCCAAUAGAGUCCGGCGCAACCUUUGGUUUGUGUCCAGAUUCGAAAAACCCCCCAUUUUUAAACCACUUGAUUUUUUCUGUUGGAAUUUUCUUUUUAUUAAUUUUAAAUAAAAGACAACUUUUAACGGUGGAUCUCUUGGCUCGUG
This 298-nucleotide unclassified non-coding RNA is filed under the name fungal sp. RNAcentral describes it as "partial internal transcribed spacer region". The stretch from base 1 to 46 matches the Rfam family "Eukaryotic small subunit ribosomal RNA", at positions 1786 to 1831 of the family's 1831-position model. Lineage: Eukaryota; Fungi. The record is from RNAcentral.